Molecule: ribosomal RNA, 596 nt
Filed under: uncultured bacterium
Lineage: Bacteria
Description: bacterial SSU rRNA
Rfam family: Bacterial small subunit ribosomal RNA
Source: RNAcentral
AAUAUAUCGGAACGUGCCCAGUCGUGGGGGAUAACGUAGAGAAAUUUACGCUAAUACCGCAUACGAUCUAAGGAUGAAAGCGGGGGAUCGCAAGACCUCGCGCGAUUGGAGCGGCUGAUAUCAGAUUAGGUUGUUGGUGAGGUAAAAGCUCACCAAGCCGACGAUCUGUAGCUGGUUUGAGAGAACGACCAGCCACACUGGGACUGAGACACGGCCCAGACUCCUACGGGAGGCAGCAGUGGGGAAUUUUGGACAAUGGGCGAAAGCCUGAUCCAGCAAUGCCGCGUGCAGGAAGAAGGCCUUCGGGUUGUAAACUGCUUUUGUACGGAACGAAACGGCUCUUUCUAAUAAAGAGGGCUAAUGACGGUACCGUAAGAAUAAGCACCGGCUAACUACGUGCCAGCAGCCGCGGUAAUACGUAGGGUGCGAGCGUUAAUCGGAAUUACUGGGCGUAAAGCGUGCGCAGGCGGUUAUGUAAGACAGUUGUGAAAUCCCCGGGCUCAACCUGGGAAUUGCAUCUGUGACUGCAUAGCUAGAGUACGGUAGAGGGGGAUGGAAUUCCGCGUGUAGCAGUGAAAUGCGUAGAUAUGCGGAGG